This 253-nucleotide ribosomal RNA is filed under the name uncultured bacterium. RNAcentral's name for it is "partial 16S ribosomal RNA". It matches the Rfam family "Bacterial small subunit ribosomal RNA", at positions 524 to 776 of the family's 1533-position model. The record is from RNAcentral.
UACGUAGGGCGCAAGCGUUAUCCGGAAUUAUUGGGCGUAAAGAGCUCGUAGGCGGUUUGUCGCGUCUGCCGUGAAAGUCCGGGGCUCAACUCCGGAUCUGCGGUGGGUACGGGCAGACUAGAGUGCGGUAGGGGAGAUUGGAAUUCCUGGUGUAGCGGUGGAAUGCGCAGAUAUCAGGAGGAACACCGGCGGCGAAGGCGGCUUCCUGGACCGAUACUGACGCUGAGACGCGAAAGCGUGGGGAGCAAACAGG